This 167-nucleotide unclassified non-coding RNA is filed under the name plant metagenome. RNAcentral describes it as "partial contains 5.8S ribosomal RNA, internal transcribed spacer 2, and large subunit ribosomal RNA". The record is from RNAcentral.
CAGAACGCUCCCCAAGCCCAGCUUAUCAAUACUCCCCCCGUAGAUCCCGUGCAUCAUCCCUGAGAGGACGUUCCGCGGGCCGGGGACGUCACCGAGCGUCAUGCGCAGCCAGUCGCCUAUUGAGACGUCGUGCUUUACUGUGUCGGGCGGGAAGUCGUGCAUAAGGU